RNAcentral lists this ribosomal RNA (253 nucleotides) under uncultured bacterium. RNAcentral's name for it is "partial 16S ribosomal RNA". It matches the Rfam family "Bacterial small subunit ribosomal RNA", at positions 793 to 1055 of the family's 1533-position model. The record is from RNAcentral.
GUCCACGCCGUAAACGAUGGAUACUAGCUGUUGGGAGCGAUCUCAGUGGCUAAGCGAAAGUGAUAAGUAUCCCACCUGGGUAGUACGUUCGCAAGAAUGAAACUCAAAGGAAUUGACGGGGCCGCACAAGCGGUGGAGCAUGUGGUUUAAUUCGAUGAUACGCGAGGAACCUUACCAAGGCUUAAAUGUAGAUUGACCGGUUUGGAAACAGAUCUUUCGCAAGACAAUUUACAAGGUGCUGCAUGGUUGUCGU